This 292-nucleotide ribosomal RNA is filed under the name uncultured bacterium. RNAcentral describes it as "partial 16S ribosomal RNA". The record is from RNAcentral. RNAcentral also lists the same sequence under 2 other names.
GGACUACUGGGGUUUCUAAUCCCGUUCGCUCCCCUGGCUUUCGCGCCUCAGCGUCAGAAAAGGUCCAGCAGUCCGCUUUCGCCACCGGCGUUCCUUCCGAUAUCAACGCAUUUCACCGCUCCACCGGAAGUUCCGACUGCCCCUACCUCCCUCCAGACCUCCAGUAUCCAAGGCACUUUUCCGGUUAAGCCGAAAGCUUUCACCCCGGACUGGGAGGCCCGCCUACGCGCCCUUUAAGCCCAGUGAUUCCGAACAACGUUCGCACGGUUCGUCUUACCGCGGCGGCUGGCAC